RNA transcript from Pimephales promelas (fathead minnow), 3171 nucleotides. RefSeq lists it as uncharacterized. Lineage: Eukaryota; Metazoa; Chordata; Actinopteri; Cypriniformes; Leuciscidae. The record is from RefSeq and is a predicted model, not a curated record.
CAGAAGAACUUCCUGUUGACGCUCGUGCGUCCUGACAAUAGAUCCUGAGACUCCAGUCCGAGUUUACAUAGAAAAACAGAAACUAUUUCACAUGACAGCAUCAAACUAAACGCUCAUCCGAGAGGAGAAACCUCCCGUCCGCUGGAUUCAGAGUCUGAUCACAGUUGGAGCGAGUUUCCGAGGAGGAGGAAUGCCGUUCAGAUCAUUGUCUUGGUGUUUUAGACUGUAAAUAAACCGUGUUUCUCCCGGUAUGGCGGAGGCUCGAGCUGACGAUGACGAGGAGCGAAUGCGCGAGCCCGGCGGCGCGAGACGGAGCGCAGAACAUUCAGACAGAAACAAACCGGAUCAGCGCCUCUCCAGCCAAGGCCCGCUGUCCUCCAUCAGAGCUGUCAUCAAACGCACAUCGAGAACGAGCUCUCAUAGUGACCAUCAGCGGGAUCGGAGACGUCCAGAAAUCACCAUCCUCUCUGCUGAACCCCUGCCGUCCAAUACGUGGUUCCCAGGGGCUUCUGGGGCGUUUCCCCCAGCCCCGCCCCCAGCUCCGUCCACAUGGGCUGCUACCGCGGCAACAGUGCAGCUCCCGCCUCCUUCAUAUGAGCAAGUGAUCCGAGAAAAAAGCCGAGAACAGAAUAUUCCCUCUUCGUCUUCGUCCUCUUCAUCUUCUCGUCUCUCUACCUGCACCAUCGCCACUCAGACGGACACACACACCCCCGGCCCACGAUCCUCCGCUGCUCGUCCAGUUCACAAACCCCCCAAACCCCCGCGCCCCUCGUUGCCUCUCAAACACACGUCUGACCCGGACCGGUCCAACCCGAAGCCUGUAGACGCUCAACACGAGCAGUGUGGCGUUCAGACGGACUUCGAUGACAUCACCGGUGACAUCAGCCCUAUAGGCCCCGCCCCCACUAGCAAGUUUUCCACCCAGAGCGUUCUUGAUGACAUCAGUUCCAUAGGCCCCACCCCCACUAGCAAGUUUUCCACCCAGAGCGUUCUUGAUGACAUCAGUUCCAUAGGCCCCACCCCCACUAGCAAGUUUUCCACCCAGAGCGUUCUUGAUGACAUCAGUUCCAUAGGCCCCACCCCCACCGCCAAGUUUUCCACCCAGAGCGACCUCGAUGACAUCAUCCCUAUAGGCCCCGCCCCCACUACCAAGUUUUCCACCCAGAGCGACCUUGAUGACAUCACCGGUGACAUCAGCCCCAUAGGCCCCGCCCCCAACACUAAGUUUCCCCCCCUGAGAGACCUUGAUGACAUCAUUGGUGACAUCAGUUCCAUAGGCCCCACCCCCACCGCCGAUUUUUCCACCCAAAGCGACCGUAGUGACAUCAGCCCCAUAGGCUCCGCCCCCUCCGCCAAGACCUACUUCGAUUUCCCAGUCGAACCCAUGAAAGAGGAGGCGAGGGCUCGUCCCAGACCUCGACCUCGCUCCACGGUCGCCCUGCGACCCGUCGUUCUAGACCAGCCAAUCACGAGGGAGGUCAAAGUUCAGACGCUAGUGCGUUUAAAGGACGAUGGGGCCGACAGCGUGUUCGCCGGGUUCGACGACUCCCCGUCGAACAUCUCCAGCAAAUACCUGCAGGACCUGCUGGACGUGUUCGGCUCGGACGAAACUCGAGAAAGCAAAGCGAGUGAUGUAGAAGAUGAGAAACAUACAUCUGAACCGUUAAAUAGACCGCAACCACGGCCUAGAACUCUGAAGUCCAAACCUCAACUCGCCCCAAAACCAUCCGUCUUUGACGUUUUUGACACUACCGUUGAGCAGAACCCAUCCAAAGCCCCGAGUCCACCAGUACCAGCACCCAGACCACUUCUGAACAAACCCCGGAGUCCGUCAGAGUCCUGUUCAUCCACCAAACCCUCAGCCGCCACCCGACCUGCCACUCCAUCUCAGAGGAGGAGCUCAGAAGGUCACGCUGUGAACACUGCGGUCAAGAAGACGCCUGUGACGCCGGCCGACAGGAACGUCGGGAAACGUCCAUCAGUUCCCAAACACUCCCGGCCGCCUCCACCGGUGCUCAGGAAUAUGGCGUCCCCCUCACAGACUGCUGCGGAUGUUUCCAGAGCCGCCGACGCCUCAGUUCCUCCUCUGCCCCCGAGACCCAGUGGUGGAAGACUCCUCCCCCUUCGCCCUCCUCCAGUCAAAGUGGCCAAACCUGCAGGCUCCGCCUCCUCCCCCACUGCGACCAAUCAGCUGCCAAGCAGCAGAACUCCGAAGAGAGCCCCGCCCCUCCCUCCCCGACCGAAACCGGGACAUCCGCUAUAUAAGCGCUAUUCUGUGAGUGUUUCUGGAGGAUUUGAGAAGAACUGCAGAGCACAGUUCCUCAAGCAGAAACUGAGGAGGAGAAUAUCAGCAAAGAGCAAGAGGAACCAUCGGAGGAAACAUCUUCCCAUGAAGAGGAGCAGCUGAUUGUCCUCGAUGAUACAGACAUCCUAGAAACACAGUCGAAUACACUCUGCGCCUCAGAGGUCAAAGGUCAAGAUGUGACGGUCAGUGGGGUUCAGCUGGAACACACGCCCUCAGAGCAGCAGAUCCAACAAAACAGGUUUGUUGUGGCCCGUUUUGCGUUUGAGGGGGGGGAGGGGGAGCUGACUUUCAGUGAAGGUGAUGUCAUCACUCUUGUGGAAUAUGCAAAUGAGGAGUGGGGGCGUGGCAUUCUCAACCGACAAAUGGGAAUCUUCCCUCUCAGUUUCAUCCAGCCUACAGAGGAAUCUGAUGUGUCGCCGGGGAAACCGGUUCGGGAAUCUCCUGGAGGGCGGAGCAGAGGACGGGCACUUUAUGAGUUCAGGCCGGAGUGUGAGGACGAGCUCUGUCUCAAGGCAGGAGACCUAGUGUGUGAUUUGGAGGAGAUCGAUGCCGAAUGGUUCGUUGGAGAAUCCGGUGGGAAGCGUGGCAUCGUCCCUAAAAACUACAUCCAAGUGUUGCUGGACCCCUGACCCCUGACCCCCUGACCCUGUCCUGUCAUGUGCCUGAUGAGCGUUUCUACAUUUUGCCUUAUUUAGAUGUAAUACACUUAAAGAAGGUCAGUGACGAGAUGUUAGUUUGUGAAGUGUAUGGAGAUCUCCUGUAUUGUACUGACUCCAGUCUGUGUGUGUGUGUGUGUGUGUGUGUGUGUGGCUGUAUGAAUUUGUUUACAGAGUUUUAACCCACAUUAAACUCAUCCGUUACAUGAA